RNAcentral lists this ribosomal RNA (497 nucleotides) under uncultured bacterium. Its description in RNAcentral is "partial 16S ribosomal RNA". It matches the Rfam family "Bacterial small subunit ribosomal RNA", at positions 28 to 507 of the family's 1533-position model. The record is from RNAcentral.
GAUGAACGCUGGCGGCGUGCCUAAUACAUGCAAGUCGAGCGAACAGACGAGGAGCUUGCUCCUCUGACGUUAUCGGCGGACGGGUGAGUAACACGUGGAUAACCUACCUAUAAGACUGGGAUAACUUCGGGAAACCGGAUCUAAUACCGGAUAAUAUAUUGAACCGCAUGGUUUACUAGUAAAAGACGGUUUUGCUGUUACUUAUAGAUGGAUCCUCGCCACAUUAGCUAGUUGGUAAGGUAACGGCUUACCAAGGCAACGAUGCGUAGCCGCCCUGAGGGGGUGAUCGCCCACACUGGAACUGAGCCACGGCCCAGACUCCUCCGGGAGGAAGAAGUAGGGAAUCUUCGGAAAUGGGCGAAAGCCUACCGGAGAACCGCCGCGUGAGUGAUGAAGGUCUUCGGAUCGUAAACCUCUGUUAUUAGGGAAGAACAAAUGUGUAAGUAAAUAUGCACGUCUUGACGGUACCUAAUCAGAAAGCCACGGCUAACUACGUG